Molecule: non-coding RNA, 12766 nt
Organism: Chlorocebus sabaeus (green monkey)
Lineage: Eukaryota; Metazoa; Chordata; Mammalia; Primates; Cercopithecidae
Source: RefSeq, a predicted model, not a curated record
AACUUGGGCAGAGGUCAGGGGUCACGCGAGGUCAGUCCGCCGGGAGGGCUAGGGAGACGGUCACGAAACCUGGAGUCAAGAGUUCAGGCUUGUUGGCUUCUGGUGUGAUUCCCUUCAGUACGGCGGCACCGUGGAAGUGCAGACUUUCACAGGGGGUGUGGUCUCAGCUCACACAGGUGCUCCAGAGGCUGGUGGACCUGAGCGGAGGCUGGGACGCCCUGGUGGGCCCCGGGCCCUGGAAGGCGGGUCCCGGUGGCCGGUGGCCCAGAAUGAGGCCAGCUCCCAGCAUGCCCUGCAGCCGGACGCCAGCCCCUCGGCCAGCAGCAGUGGUGAUAACGACCCAGUCAUUCUUCAGGCAUCCAAGGAGGAGCCUGGGAGUGGGACCAUGCAGAGCAGCCCCUCCCCUGCUCACCCUCAGCUCCCAGUCCUACAGACACAGAUGGUGUCGGACGGCAUGACAGGCAGCAAUCCUGUGUCCCCUGCCUCAUCCAGUUCCCCAGCCUCUAGUGGGGCAGGCGGCAUCUCCCCCCAGCACAUAGCUCAAGAUUCCUCCCUGGAUGGACCUCCAGGACCCCCAGAUGGUGCCACAGUGCCCCUGGAGGGGUUCAGCUUAUCCCAGGCUGCUGACCUGGCUAACAAGGGCCCGAAGUGGGAGAAGAGCCAUGCCGAAAUCGCGGAACAGGCCAAGCAUGAGGCUGAGAUUGAGACUCGGAUUGCUGAGCUGCGGAAGGAGGGUUUCUGGUCACUGAAGAGGCUGCCUAAGGUGCCAGAGCCCCCUCGCCCCAAAGGUCACUGGGACUAUCUGUGCGAAGAGAUGCAGUGGCUCUCUGCUGACUUUGCUCAGGAGCGCCGUUGGAAACGGGGUGUGGCCCGUAAGGUGGUGCGCAUGGUGAUCCGGCACCAUGAGGAGCAGCGGCAGAAAGAGGAACGGGCCCGGAGGGAGGAGCAGGCCAAGCUGCGUCGAAUCGCUUCCACCAUGGCCAAGGAUGUCAGGCAGUUCUGGAGCAAUGUGGAGAAGGUGGUGCAAUUCAAGCAACAGUCCCGGCUUGAGGAAAAGCGCAAAAAAGCCCUGGACCUGCAUUUGGACUUCAUUGUUGGGCAAACUGAAAAGUACUCGGACCUUCUGUCUCAGAGCCUCAACCAGCCAUUAGCCUGCAGCAAAGCAGGCUCUUCCCCUUGCCUCGGCUCUUCCUCAGCUGCCUCCAGUCCUCCACCCCCUGCUUCCCGCCUGGAUGAUGAAGAUGGGGACUUUCAACCCCAAGAGGAGGAGGAAGAGGAUGAUGAGGAAACGAUUGAGGUUGAAGAACAACAGGAGGGCAAUGAUGCAGAGGCCCAGAGGCGUGAGAUUGAGCUGCUUCGCCGUGAGGGAGAAUUGCCACUGGAAGAGCUGCUCCGUUCCCUUCCCCCUCAACUACUGGAAGGGCCUUCCAGCCCCUCUCAAACCCCCUCAUCUCAUGAUAGUGACACCCGAGAUGGGCCUGAAGAAGGUGCUGAAGAAGAGCCCCCUCAGGUGUUGGAGAUAAAGCCCCCACCCUCUGCUGUCACACAGUGCAACAAACGGCCUUGGCAUCCAGAUGAAGAUGAUGAAGAGUUUACUGCCAAUGAGGAGGAAGCGGAGGAUGAAGAGGACACUAUAGCAGCUGAGGAACAGUUGGAAGGGGAGGUGGAUCAUGCCGUGGAGCUGAGCGAGUUGGCUCGAGAAGGUGAGCUUUCCAUGGAGGAGCUAUUGCAGCAGUAUGCAGGAGCCUAUGCCCCAGGCUCUGGGAGCAGUGGUGAUGAGGAUGAAGAUGAGGUUGAUGCUAAUAGCUCUGACUGUGAACCAGAGGGGGCCGUGGAAGCGGAAGAAGCUCCUCAGGAGGAUAGUAGCAGUCAGUCAGACUCUGUGGAGGACCAGAGUGAGGAUGAGGAAGAUGAACAUUCAGAAGAGGAAGAAACAAGUGGAAGUUCAGCAUCAGAGGAAUCUGAGUCUGAAGAGUCUGAGGAUGCCCAAUCACAGAGCCAAGCAGAUGAAGAGGAGGAAGAUGAUGAUUUUGGGGUGGAAUACUUGCUUGCCAGGGAUGAAGAGCGGAGUGAGGCAGAUGCAGGCAGUGGGCCUCCCACUCCAGGGCCCACCACUACUCUAGGUCCAAAGAAAGAAAUUACUGACAUUGCUGCAGCAGCCGAAAGUCUCCAGCCCAAGGGUUACACGCUGGCCACUACCCAGGUAAAGACGCCCAUCCCCCUGCUUCUGCGGGGCCAGCUCCGGGAGUACCAGCACAUUGGGCUAGACUGGCUGGUUACCAUGUACGAGAAGAAGCUUAAUGGCAUUCUUGCUGAUGAGAUGGGGCUUGGGAAGACCAUCCAGACCAUCUCCCUGCUUGCCCACUUGGCUUGUGAGAAAGGUAACUGGGGUCCCCAUUUAAUCAUUGUUCCCACCAGUGUGAUGUUGAACUGGGAAAUGGAGUUGAAACGGUGGUGCCCCAGCUUUAAAAUCCUCACUUACUAUGGAGCCCAGAAAGAGAGGAAGCUCAAGCGGCAGGGCUGGACCAAGCCCAAUGCCUUCCAUGUUUGUAUCACAUCUUACAAGCUGGUGCUGCAGGACCACCAGGCCUUCCGCCGCAAGAAUUGGCGCUAUCUCAUUCUGGAUGAGGCACAGAACAUCAAAAACUUCAAGUCACAGCGCUGGCAGUCACUCCUCAACUUCAACAGCCAGAGGCGCCUGCUCCUGACAGGAACUCCCUUGCAGAACAGCCUCAUGGAGCUGUGGUCCUUGAUGCACUUUUUGAUGCCCCAUGUCUUCCAGUCUCAUCGCGAGUUCAAGGAGUGGUUCUCUAAUCCCCUAACUGGCAUGAUUGAGGGCAGCCAAGAGUAUAAUGAAGGUCUUGUCAAACGCCUCCACAAGGUUUUGAGGCCUUUUUUACUGCGCCGAGUUAAGGUGGAUGUUGAGAAGCAGAUGCCCAAAAAGUAUGAGCAUGUUAUCCGCUGCAGGCUCUCCAAGCGUCAACGCUGUCUCUAUGAUGACUUCAUGGCACAAACCACAACUAAGGAGACACUAGCCACAGGCCAUUUCAUGAGCGUCAUCAACAUUUUGAUGCAGCUGAGAAAAGUUUGCAAUCAUCCAAAUCUGUUCGACCCUCGACCGGUUACCUCCCCUUUCAUCACCCCAGGCAUCUGCUUCAGCACCGCCUCUCUGGUGCUAAGGGCCACGGAUGUCCAUCCCCUCCAGCGGAUAGACAUGGGUCGAUUUGACCUUAUUGGCCUGGAAGGUCGUGUCUCUCGAUAUGAGACAGACACAUUUCUGCCCCGGCACCGCCUCUCUCGCCGGGUACUGCUAGAGGUGGCUACUGCUCCUGAUCCCCCACCCCGGCCCAAGCCAGUCAAGAUGAAGGUCAACAGGAUGCUGCAGCCAGUACCUAAGCAAGAAGGCCGGACAGUGGUCGUAGUGAACAACCCACGGACGCCCCUGGGCCCUGUCCCGGUUCGACCCCCUCCAGGUCCUGAGCUCUCAGCCCAGCCCAGCCCUGGCCCAGCCCCCUCAGUGCUGCCAGCACCACUGAUGGUUUCAGCCUCACCUGCUGGACCCCCCCUUAUUCCUGCAUCUCGGCCUCCUGGCCCUGUCAUCUUGCCUCCACUGCAGCCAAACAGUGGUUCUCUCACUCAGGUGUUGCCAUCCCCCCUGGGAGUCCUGAGUGGGACCUCACGGCCUCCCACGCCAACCUUGUCCCUAAAGCCAACACCACCUGCCCCAGUUCGACUGAGCCCAGCCCCACCUCCAGGUUCCUCUAGCCUGUUGAAGCCCCUGACAGUGCCACCAGGUUACACCUUCCCUCCUGCUGCUGCCACUACCACUUCUACCACCACGGCAACUGCUACCACGACAGCAGUGCCAGCUCCGACUCCUGCACCACAGCGCCUCAUUCUAUCUCCCGAUAUGCAAGCUCGCCUGCCCUCAGGUGAAGUGGUCAGCAUCGGGCAGUUAGCCUCACUGGCACAACGUCCAGUGGCUAAUGCAGGGGGAAGCAAACCUCUCACCUUCCAAAUCCAGGGCAACAAGCUGACACUGACUGGUGCCCAGGUGCGCCAGCUUGCUGUGGGGCAGCCCCGCCCGCUGCAAAGGAAUGUGGUGCACCUCGUGUCAGCAGGGGGGCAGCACCACCUCAUCAGCCAGCCUGCCCAUGUGGCCCUCAUCCAGGCCGUGGCCCCGACCCCUGGCCCUACCCCUGUCUCUGUGCUGCCUUCUUCGACCCCCAGCACCACCCUUGCCCCCACUGGCCUCAGCCUUCCGCUUGCUGCUAACCAGGUGCCACCAACCAUGGUGAAUAAUACAGGCGUGGUGAAGAUUGUAGUGAGACAAGCCCCUCGGGAUGGACUGACUCCUGUUCCUCCGUUGGCCCCAGCACCCCGGCCUCCGAGCUCUGGGCUUCCAGCUGUGUUGAAUCCACGCCCCACGUUAACCCCUGGCCGGCUACCCACACCUACUCUGGGUACUGCCCGAGCCCCCAUGCCCACACCCACUCUGGUGAGGCCUCUUCUCAAGCUGGUCCACAGUCCUUCACCUGAAGUCAGUGCUUCAACCCCUGGAACUGCCCCCUUGACCAUCUCUUCUCCUCUCCAUGUGCCAUCCUCACUCCCUGGGCCAGGCUCUUCUCCAAUGCCAAUUCCCAACUCCUCUCCUCUUGCUAGUCCUGUGUCCUCUACAGUCUCAGUUCCAGCGUCAUCUUCACUCCCCAUCUCUGUCCCCACCACACUUCCUGCCCCAGCCUCGGCUCCACUCACCGUCCCCAUCUCAGCCCCCUUGCCUGUUUCCGCUUCGGGCCCAGCUCUGUUGACCAGUGUGACUCCACCACUGGCACCUGUUGUCCCAGCGGCUCCUGGACCUCCAUCCUUGGCACCAUCUGGUGCUUCCCCAUCAGCAUCAGCCUUGACUCUAGGUUUGGCCACAGCUCCGUCCCUGUCUUCAUCUCAGACACCUGGUCACCCUCUGUUGUUGGCUCCCACCUCUUCACAUGUUCCAGGGUUGAACUCAACCGUGGCCCCAGCAUGCUCACCUGUCCUGGUGCCAGCUUCAGCUCUGGCCAAUCCUUUUCCGGCAGCACCAAAUCCAGCUCCAGCUCAGGCUUCCCUUCUGGCUCCAGCAUCUUCUACAUCUCAGGCUCUAGCCACCCCUCUGGCUUCUAUGGCAUCUCCACAGACAGCAAUUCUGGCUCCUUCUCCAGCUCCUACUCUGGCUCCUCUUCCAGUCCUGGCACCAUCGCCAGGUCCUGCUCCUGUCCUGGCUUCAUCACAGACUCCGGUUCCAGUUAUGGCUCCAUCGUCUACUCCAGGAACCUCUUUAGCCUCAGCUUCACUGGUACCAGCUCCAACCCCUGUGUUGGCUUCAUCAUCAACUCAAACUUUGCUACCAGCCCCGGUUCCAUCACCUCUCCCGAGCCCGGUUUCUACACAGACACUGGCCCUAGCCCCAGCUUUAGCACCCACUCUUGGAGGCUCAUCUCCAUCUCAGACACUCUCUUUGGGCACGGGGAACCCCCAGGGACCCUUUCCAACUCAGACAUUGUCAUUAACUCCAGCAUCAUCCCUGGUACCAACUCCAGCCCAGACACUGUCUUUGGCACCAGGACCACCACUGGGUCCAACUCAGACGCUGUCUCUGGCUCCAGCACCUCCUCUGGCUCCAGCUUCUCCGAUGGGCCCAGCUGCAGCUCACACGCUGACUUUGGCUCCAGCAUCGUCAUCUGCUUCACUCCUGGCCCCAGCUUCAGUGCAGACACUGACCUUGAGCCCUGCCCCAGUUCCUACCCUGGGCCCGGCUGCAGCUCAGACCUUGGCGCUGGCCCCAGCCUCCACACAGUCCCCAGCUUCCCAGGCAUCUUCCCUUACGGUUUCGGCAUCUGGUGCCGCUCCCUUGCCUGUCACCAUGGUAUCCCGGCUGCCUGUUUCCAAGGAUGAGCCUGACACACUGACAUUGCGCUCUGAUCCCCCCAGCCCUCCCUCCACUGCUACCUCGUUUGGUGGCCCCCGGCCUCGACGCCAGCCCCCCCCACCACCUCGUUCCCCUUUUUAUCUGGACUCCCUGGAGGAAAAGCGGAAGCGGCAGCGGUCUGAACGCCUGGAACGGAUUUUCCGACUUAGUGAGGCUCAUGGGGCCCUGGCACCUGUGUAUGGGACUGAAGUCCUGGAUUUCUGUACCUUACCCCAACCUGUUGCCAGCCCCAUCGGCCCUCGUUCUCCUGGCCCCAGCCACCCCACCUUUUGGACUUAUACCGAGGCUGCCCACCGGGCUGUACUGUUUCCCCAGCAGCGACUAGACCAGCUGUCAGAAAUCAUUGAGAGGUUCAUCUUUGUCAUGCCUCCUGUGGAGGCACCUCCCCCUUCCCUGCAUGCCUGCCACCCACCUCCUUGGCUGGCCCCACGUCAGGCAGCCUUCCAGGAGCAAUUGGCCUCUGAGCUCUGGCCCCGGGCUCGUCCUUUGCACCGUAUUGUGUGUAACAUGCGCACCCAGUUCCCCGACUUGAGACUCAUCCAGUAUGAUUGCGGAAAAUUGCAGACGUUGGCAGUGCUGUUGCGGCAGCUCAAGGCAGAGGGCCACCGAGUGCUUAUCUUCACCCAGAUGACCCGAAUGCUGGAUGUAUUGGAGCAGUUUCUCACCUACCAUGGCCAUCUCUACCUGCGCCUGGAUGGGUCUACUAGAGUUGAACAGAGACAGGCCUUGAUGGAACGGUUCAAUGCAGACAAACGCAUAUUCUGCUUCAUCCUUUCAACUCGGAGUGGGGGUGUGGGCGUGAACCUGACAGGAGCAGACACUGUUGUUUUUUAUGACAGCGACUGGAAUCCCACCAUGGAUGCUCAGGCCCAGGACCGCUGUCACCGAAUUGGCCAGACCCGGGAUGUUCACAUAUAUAGGCUUAUCAGUGAACGGACAGUGGAGGAGAACAUCCUAAAAAAGGCAAAUCAGAAGAGAAUGUUGGGAGACAUGGCCAUUGAGGGAGGCAACUUCACCACAGCCUAUUUUAAACAGCAGACCAUCCGAGAGCUGUUUGAUAUGCCCCUGGAGGAACCUUCUAGCUCAUCUGUGCCCUCUGCCCCUGAAGAGGAAGAAGAGACUGUGGCCAGCAAGCAGACUCAUAUUCUGGAGCAGGCAUUGUGUCGGGCAGAAGAUGAAGAGGAUAUCCGUGCGGCCACCCAGGCCAAGGCUGAACAGGUGGCUGAGCUUGCAGAAUUUAAUGAGAACGAUGGGUUUCCUGCUUGUGAGGGAGAGGAGGCUGGCCGGCCUGGGGCUGAGGAUGAGGAGAUGUCCCGGGCUGAGCAGGAAAUUGCUGCCCUCGUAGAACAGCUGACCCCCAUUGAGCGUUAUGCCAUGAAAUUCCUGGAGGCCUCACUGGAGGAGGUGAGCCGAGAGGAGCUCAAACAGGCAGAAGAGCAAGUGGAAGCUGCCCGCAAAGACCUGGACCAAGCCAAGGAGGAGGUGUUCCGCCUACCCCAAGAGGAGGAGGAGGGGCCGGGGGCUGGGGAUGAGAGUUCCUGUGGGACUGGUGGAGGCACCCAUCGGCGCAGUAAAAAGGCCAAGGCCCCUGAGAGACCGGGGACUCGUGUCAGUGAGCGUCUUCGUGGAGCCCGGGCUGAGACUCAAGGGGCAAACCACACUCCUGUCAUAUCCGCCCAUCAAACUCGCAGCACCACCACACCGCCCCGCUGCAGUCCUGCCAGGGAGAGAGUUUCCAGGCCAGCACCUAGGCCUCGACCCACUCCAGCUUCAGCUCCAGCUGCAAUUCCUGCCCUUGUUCCUGUCCCAGUCUCUGCCCCAGUACCCAUUUCAACCCCAAAUCCAAUAACCAUUCUCCCUGUCCAUAUAUUGCCUUCUCCUCCCCCUCCUUCACAGAUUCCUCCUUGUUCUCCUGCUUGCACCCCUCCUCCCGCCUGUACCCCUCCACCAGCUCAUACACCGCCUCCAGCCCAAACCUGUCUUUUAACUCCUUCCCCUCCUCUCUUGCUUGGUCCACCUUCUGUGCCCAUUUCUCCCCCAGUCACCAACCUCCCCUUGGGCUUGAGGCCUGAGGCAGAACUGUGUGCCCAGGCAUUGGCAUCUCCAGAGUCCCUGGAGCUGGCUUCUGUGGCCAGUUCAGAAACCUCCUCACUUACUCUUGUGCCCCCUAAAGAUCUGUUGCCAGUUGCUGUGGAGAUCCUGCCUGUGUCUGAGAAGAACCUUUCUCUCACCCCUUCUGCACCCAGCCCGACCUUGGAGGCUGGCAGUGUCCCUAACGGUCAAGAACAGGAGGCACCAGAUUCUGCUGAGGGCACCACCCUUACAGUGCUGCCUGAAGGUGAGGAGUUGCACCUUCAGUGUGUGAGUGAGAGCAAUGGCCUGGAGCUCCCACCCUCAGCAGCAUCUGAUGAGCCACUUCAGGAGCCACUGGAAGCUGACAGGACCUCGGAAGAGCUGGCAGAGGCCCAGACCCCAACCUCCAGCCCAGAGAAGCCACAGGAACUUGUUACACCUGAGGUUGCAGCUCCAUCCACCUCAUCUUCAGCCACUUCCUCGCCUGAGGGUCCUUCACCUGCCCGACCUCCUCGGCGUCGCACCAGUGCUGAUGUGGAAAUUAGGGGUCAAGGAACUGGUCGGCCAGGACAACCACCAGGCCCCAAAGUGCUUCGAAAGCUGCCAGGACGGCUAGUAACUGUGGUAGAGGAAAAGGAACUGGUGCGGCGGCGGCGGCAGCAGCGGGGAGCUGCCAGCACCCUAGUGCCUGGGGUCUCUGAGACUAGCGCCAGCCCAGGAAGCCCAUCUGUCCGCAGCAUGUCAGGGCCAGAAUCCUCCCCUCCCAUUGGUGGGCCUUGUGAAGCUGCUCCUUCAUCCUCACUGCCCACUCCACCCCAACAGCCCUUCAUUGCUCGCCGUCACAUUGAGCUGGGGGUGACUGGUGGUGGCACCCCAGAGAAUGGAGACGGAGCACUGCUUGCCAUCACCCCACCUGCUGUGAAACGUCGGAGGGGGAGGCCCCCCAAGAAGAACAGGUCUCCAGCAGAUGCUGGGAGAGGUGUGGAUGAGGCACCCUCAUCCACCUUGAAGGGAAAAACCAAUGGGGCUGACCCAGUCCCUCAGCCUGAGACCCUAAUUGUUGCAGAGCCUGUCCUGGAACCACAGUUUGUUCCUGGGCCCCAGCCUCUUGGACCCCAGCCACUUCACAGACCCAAUCCUAUCCUGUCACCUGUGGAGAAAAGGCGGCGAGGGCGACCCCCUAAGGCACGAGAUUUGCCCAUCCCUGGGACCAUUUCCUCUCCAGGGGAUGGCAACUCCGAAAGUCGGACACAGCCACCCCCACACCCAUCACCCCUAACCCCACUCCCACCACUGCUAGCUUGUCCCACUGCUACUGUUGCCAACACGGUCACCACUGUCACCAUUUCAACGUCCCCACCCAAACGGAAGAGGGGCCGACCUCCCAAGAAUCCUCCAUCACCUCGGCCCAGCCAGCUCCCUGUGUUGGACCGUGACAGCACUUCUGUCCUUGAGAGCUGUGGAUUGGGGAGGCGACGGCAUCCGCAGGGCCAAGGGGAGAGUGAGGGUAGUUCCUCUGAUGAGGAUGGAAGCCGCCCCCUCACCCGCCUGGCCCGCCUUCGGCUUGAAGCAGAAGGAAUGCGAGGACGGAAGAGUGGAGGGUCCAUGGUGGUGGCUGUAAUUCAGGAUGACCUGGACUUAGCAGAUAGCGGGCCAGGCGGGUUGGAAUUGACACCACCUGUGGUCUCAUUAGCCCCAAAACUGCGCUCGACCCGGCUGCGUCCAGGGUCUCUAGUCCCCCCACUAGAGACUGAGAAGGUGCCUCGCAAACGAGCAGGGGCCCCAGUUGGUGGGGGUCCUGGGCUGGCAAAGCGGGGCCGCCUACAGCCCCCAAGUCCCCUGGGGCCUGAGGGUUCGGUAGAGGAGUCUGAGGCUGAAGCCUCAGGUGAGGAGGAGGAAGGGGAUGGGACCCCACGCCGACGUCCUGGUCCCCGCCGGCUUGUUGGGACCACCAACCAAGGGGACCAGCGCAUCUUGCGCAGCAGUGCCCCUCCCUCCCUGACUGGCCCUACUGUUAGUUACAGAGGCCGCAAGGCCAAGACGUGAGUGGGCUGCCCCUCCACCUAGGCUUUCCACCGUGGCCGCUCCCUCCAUGACCAGGCCUGACUCUGUUAACCACUACUUGAAGUCUUGAGGGGGAAAGCCUCCAGGGAGACAUAGGGGCCUUCUCCCUUCUUCCCACCAAAGUAGGGGGUAGGCAACUGGUUGUCAUGGAAAUGGGGAUCAUCACAGUCCCCCUCCCCUUCACCCCACGUGGCUGGGCAGUGUUAAGGGUGGCAAGAUAGUUUCUGUCCCCACCCCCUUGUACUUGAUUCCCCAGCUGUCUUUCACAGCCCCCCACCCUUAGGGGAAAGGGGAGGGGCUUCUCUACAAUGAGGUUUUUUUCUUUUUUUCUUUUUUUCUUUUUUUUUUUUUUUAAGAAGAAAAAAUAAUAAACUUAGUUUCUGUACGAGCAUCCGCGUAAGGAGGCUUCUGAUUUUCUGGUCUGGUGGAGGGUUGGGUGGGAACUUGGGCAUCGUUUUUCUCUUCCCUCUUGCUCUUGCAAAGAUCCUAGCACCUGAUCUCUAGCCUAGGACUGUAUAUUCCAAGUAGAAACCUACCCAAGAAAAGGGAAGAUUGGUGAAUUUGAUGUGGUAGGGUGCCUUUCCCAAGUCAGUUUGAAGUCACAGACAUCCUUUUCCUCCUUUCUUUUCCCUUGGUUCCUAGACGUUCCUCGGAGCUCUUGGAUGCCUCAGACCUUUCCCUUUUAUCCCUCUUGCUCAGGUGCUUCCUUUCACUCCUUUUUCCAGAGGGCAGGCGUCCUAGCUCCAGUUGGUCCAUCCCUUGGGCCCUCCCCGGCUCUUCAUCUAGCCAAACUGGUUUGAGUCAGCCACACCCCUUCCCAGCUCCCUGAGCUCUUCAGGUGGUGGCUGGCCACUCAACCCCACCCCUGGGCUUGGCUUGGAGCCCUGAGUCAGCUCCAUCACCACCCAAGCCAAACCAAAGCUGAGGCAGGAGCCGAAACUCAGAGUCCCUCAAAGCCUAUAGCCAGGUAAGAGCCCUGUUCAUUUUAUAUUCUCUGUUCACUCCCUGGGCCCUCCUUGUGUCUUCCUGUUGACUCUGUUUACCUCAUCCGAGUUACUUCUUUGUAUCUACUUCCCUGCAGCUUCUUGGCACACAUCAUUCUUUGCGCUCUGCUUGUCUCACCCCUUUCACCUUUCCUAUCCUUUGUUACUUGGGUUCAGGGAGCCAUUGUGGUUUCAUUUUGUGUGGGUUGUAGGAGAAUGGUUGGAGAUAAGGGUAGAAAGGUGGUUUGAUGCCAGGGCCUAGAGGACCUGAGAAGUAGGGAGACGAGAAAUAAUUAAGUAGGGCAUCAUUAUGCAGGUUUCUGUGUGAUAAUGAGGUCAUUUGGACCCAGUGUACUAGUCUGAUUGUGUUGUGUGGCCUGGGUUAAAAUAGAGAGAGGAGGUGGCAGGGAGGCAGCAUAGCAGAGGAAGACCUGACUUAGGGAAGUAAGGUCUUUUUGGUGUUUGGUUUCAGCGGUAAAAAAGGGCUUACUUGGGUAUAUUUUCCUUACCUUUCUCCAUUCCCAUAACUGUUUUCAUGUAAAAUGGCUGCUUUUCUUGAAGUGGGGUGCAGUACCUAGGGUUCUGCUCUCUGACAUCUAUAGUACUCAGGGGGCAGCCUCUUGGGAAUCUGGGGGAAUUGUAGGGUCCUUUGAAAUACAGAUUAAAAUAACAGAUUCAUAGCAGCUUUCAAGAGUUUCUGUUUCUCCUGCUGCUUGGUGUGCACCUGUCAUUUGGCCUCUUCCCACUUGUAACACUAAAUAAUACAGAUAAUGCCUUGUCUACAUUGGCUUGCUUUCAAAGACUCAGAACCUCAAGCUCAGGUAAAAGGAUUCCAGCCACACAUCACAUUUCCUCUUCUGCUCUGUGAGUCACUAGAGGAAUUUCCCAGUAAGGCAGCAUUCCUGAGUGCCAGGCUAUGCCAUGAGAACAGAGUGCUCCGAGGGGUGGAGUCUGAGCAAGCAAGGCCAAGGGCUCAGUUGUUGGGCUCACAAGUACCUUGACUAUCGCCCACAGGUGAUGGAGGACGAGGAGAAGGCAGUGGAGAUCUUGAUGGGCAACACGGAAGCUGCUCAUCCUCCAUCCCCCAUCCGCUGCUGCUGGCUCCGCCUCCGCUGCUUGGCAGCUACUAGCAUUAUCUGUGGCUGCUCUUGCCUGGGAGUCAUGGCUCUGGUGUUUGCCAUCAAGGCAGAAGAGCGGCAUAAAGCAGGCCGGUCCGAGGAGGCAGUGCGCUGGGGGGCCCGGGCCCGGAAAUUCAUCCUGGCCAGCUUUGCUGUCUGGCUUGCUGUUCUCACUCUGGGUCCCCUGCUGCUGUGGUUGCUCUCCUACGCCAUCGCUCAGGCUGAGUGACCCUGGAUGGCCUCUGCUGAGAGCCAGCUGAGACCUCCUGGAUCCUGCAGUGCGGCAUUGCUAAGGUCCUGUGACAGCAGUGGUUGGAAGGAUCCUGGUUGGAAGGAUGGGGACUCUCAAGGGGCUUCGGAAGAGCUCUUCUAGCCCUUUAUAAAAGGAGGGCAGCAGCUGAGACUGAUGAGAGGAGGGCAGCCUGCUCUGUUCUUUCAGGGCCCCCCAUCCCUAUCUCCCCCACCCAAGCCCACCCUAGGCCUCUACCCAGCGGGAGGGGUUGAAGACCAGGCCUGGUUUUAUUAGAAUUCAUUUUGUAAUAAAAGCCUUUUUUAGUGGUGAAAUA